RNAcentral lists this ribosomal RNA (492 nucleotides) under uncultured bacterium. Its description in RNAcentral is "partial 16S ribosomal RNA". It matches the Rfam family "Bacterial small subunit ribosomal RNA", at positions 29 to 507 of the family's 1533-position model. The record is from RNAcentral.
AGUGAACGCUGGCGGUAGGCCUAACACAUGCAAGUCGAACGGCAGCACAGUAAGAGCUUGCUCUUACGGGUGGCGAGUGGCGGACGGGUGAGGAAUACAUCGGAAUCUACUUUUUCGUGGGGGAUAACGUAGGGAAACUUACGCUAAUACCGCAUACGACCUACGGGUGAAAGCAGGGGAUCUUCGGACCUUGCGCGAUUGAAUGAGCCGAUGUCGGAUUAGCUAGUUGGCGGGGUAAAGGCCCACCAAGGCGACGAUCCGUAGCUGGUCUGAGAGGAUGAUCAGCCACACUGGAACUGAGACACGGUCCAGACUCCUACGGGAGGCAGCAGUGGGGAAUAUUGGACAAUGGGCGCAAGCCUGAUCCAGCCAUACCGCGUGGGUGAAGAAGGCCUGCGGGUUGUAAAGCCCUUUUGUUGGGAAAGAAAAGCAGCAGGUUAAUACCCCGCUGUUCUGACGGUACCAAAAGAAUAAGCACCGGCUAACUUCGUG